RNAcentral lists this ribosomal RNA (658 nucleotides) under Actinomyces sp. oral taxon 448. RNAcentral describes it as "bacterial SSU rRNA". It matches the Rfam family "Bacterial small subunit ribosomal RNA", at positions 374 to 1022 of the family's 1533-position model. The record is from RNAcentral. Lineage: Bacteria; Bacillati; Actinomycetota; Actinomycetes; Actinomycetales; Actinomycetaceae.
GGCGCAAGCCUGAUGCAGCGACGCCGCGUGAGGGAUGGAGGCCUUCGGGUUGUGAACCUCUGUCGCCGGUGAUGUAGGCUCUGCUUUGUGGGUGGGGUUGACGGUAGCCGGGGUAUGAAGUGCCGGCUAACUACGUGCCAGCAGCCGCGGUAAUACGUAGGGCGCGAGCGUUGUCCGGAAUUAUUGGGCGUAAAGAGCUCGUAGGCGGCUGGUCGCGUCUGUCGUGAAAUCCUCUGGCUUAACUGGGGGCGUGCGGUGGGUACGGGCCGGCUUGAGUGCGGUAGGGGAGGCUGGAAUUCCUGGUGUAGCGGUGGAAUGCGCAGAUAUCAGGAGGAACACCGGUGGCGAAGGCGGGUCUCUGGGCCGUGUACUGACGCUGAGGAGCGAAAGCGUGGGGAGCGAACAGGAUUAGAUACCCUGGUAGUCCAUGCUGUAAACGUUGGGCACUAGGUGUGGGGGGUCUUUCCGGGUCUUCCGCGCCGUAGCUAACGCAUUAAGUGCCCCGCCUGGGGAGUACGGCCGCAAGGCUAAAACUCAAAGGAAUUGACGGGGGCCCGCACAAGCGGCGGAGCAUGCGGAUUAAUUCGAUGCAACGCGAAGAACCUUACCAAGGCUUGACAUGGGCCGGUGGUUCCCGGAGACGGGAGCGUCCCCUUUU